CUACGGGCGGCACCAGUGGGGAUAUUGCACAAUGGGGGGAACCCUGAUGCAGCAACGCCGCGUGGAGGAUGACGCAUUUCGGUGUGUAAACUCCUUUUAUAUGUCAAGAAAAUGACGGUAGCAUAUGAAUAAGCACCGGCUAACUCCGUGCCAGCAGCCGCGGUAAUACGGAGGGUGCAAGCGUUACUCGGAAUCACUGGGCGUAAAGGACGCGUAGGCGGGUUGGAAAGUCAGGUGUGAAAUCCUACAGCUUAACUGUAGAACUGCACUUGAAACUUCUAAUCUAGAGUAUGGGAGGGGGAGAUGGAAUUAGUGGUGUAGGGGUAAAAUCCGUAGAUAUCACUAGGAAUACCUAAAGCGAAGGCGAUCUCCUGGAACAUUACUGACGCUAAGGCGUGAAAGCGUGGGGAGCAAACAGGAUUAGAUACCCCAGUAGUC
RNAcentral lists this ribosomal RNA (438 nucleotides) under uncultured bacterium. Its description in RNAcentral is "partial 16S ribosomal RNA". It matches the Rfam family "Bacterial small subunit ribosomal RNA", at positions 339 to 795 of the family's 1533-position model. The record is from RNAcentral.